UGAAGCGUGGCGUCAUCAAGAUGGGCUU
RNAcentral lists this non-coding RNA (28 nucleotides) under Bombyx mori (domestic silkworm). Lineage: Eukaryota; Metazoa; Arthropoda; Insecta; Lepidoptera; Bombycidae. The record is from RNAcentral.